RNAcentral lists this ribosomal RNA (707 nucleotides) under uncultured bacterium. Its description in RNAcentral is "bacterial SSU rRNA". It matches the Rfam family "Bacterial small subunit ribosomal RNA", at positions 790 to 1482 of the family's 1533-position model. The record is from RNAcentral.
GUAGUCCACGCUGUAAACGAUAAUCACUAGACGUCAGCUGAGCGUAGCUUAGUUGGUGUCGAAGCUAACGCGUUAAGUGAUUCGCCUGGGGAGUACGGUCGCAAGACUAAAACUUAAAGGAAUUGACGGGGGUCCGCACAAGCGGUGGAACAUGUGGUUUAAUUCGACAAUACGCGAGGAACCUUACCUGGACUUGACAUGCUUUUGAUCGCCGUAGAGAUACGGUUUUCUAGAUUUCGGUUUAGACAGAUGCACAGGUGCUGCAUGGCUGUCGUCAGCUCGUGUCGUGAGAUGUUGGGUUAAGUCCUUUAACGAGCGCAACCCCUACCGUCAGUUGCUACUCAUCUUCGGAUGAGGCACUCUGAUGGGACUGCCUGGGAAACCAGGAGGAAGGUGGGGAUGACGUCAAGUCAUCAUGGUCCUUAUGUCCAGGGCUACACACGUGUUACAAUGGUCGGUACAAAGGGACGCCAAACCGUAAGGUGGAGCAAAUCCCAGAAAGCCGAUCUAAGUUCGGAUUGAGGUCUGCAACUCGACCUCAUGAAGUUGAAAUCGCUAGUAAUCGCAUAUCAGCAACGAUGCGGUGAAUACGUUCUCGGACCUUGUACACACCGCCCGUCACACCACGAAAGCUGUUUGUACCCGAAGCUAUUUUAGCCAACCUGAAAAGGAGGCGGAUGGUUAAGGUGUGGAUAGUGAUUGGGGUG